This is a long non-coding RNA of Osmia bicornis bicornis, 1601 nucleotides long. RefSeq lists it as uncharacterized. The record is from RefSeq and is a predicted model, not a curated record. Lineage: Eukaryota; Metazoa; Arthropoda; Insecta; Hymenoptera; Megachilidae. The transcript is spliced from 4 exons.
AGGAGUUUCCUAUUUAUAAAUUUGUAAGAAAUUCAGAAAUAGUUUCAUAAUUUCAAAUUUGAAUUUCGCGGAAAGUGCAACGUCAUCAAAUUUUCUAGCGCCAUCUUGAAUUUCACUCUAAUAUUACUUAUCAUCAGAAGGUAAUAAUAAGUUGAAUUUUUUUCUAAUUUCGUAGUUUAAAAAAUAUACGCAAUAUCAAUCUUUAUUGUACAGAGUUUCAGGAUGUUAAAGGUUAAAAGUAUAUUGGCAAAAGAAUGAGAAAAAGGGGAGAGAUCGGUGGCUUUAUUUCGUAUCCGUGUAUGUGCUCGUGAAACCGUUAUCUGGCCGGCUUUAUAUCGUCCGGUUAAGCACUUGGCUGUCGCUUCUUCGUCUUUCUUAACGGCUCCCCGUCCAUAAGCCCGCCGCGCAUGCGUAUUCGGGACGAGUGCGUCGAUACAAAAAGGAGGCAGAUUGAUCAAGGAUCAUUACCUCAUCCGUAUUCUAUCUUUAUCGACACCUCAUACGCGCAUUCUGGACAGGGUCGGCCCUGAAAUUUCGAGGUUCCGGGCUUCACGUAAAAAAGAGACGCCAUUGACGAGUACUAAAGUAACGCGCCAAAACGGCUGCAGGAAAAGGAUCGGUAAAGAGAAAGCUCCGUAGCCCCUGUGCGGGUCAUGCGACACGACCAUUCGUUCAUCGGGUCGUCGCUUUCGAUUUCUCCAGGUGCACUUACCUAGAGAAGCUUCCUUCGUCGAAUGCUCCUAAAUCGUCGGGGAAUUUUCCGUUUAAUCGAUCGACAGAUCGAUUGUUAACGAGACACGAAAAACGGUUUUUCGUUGCCUUCUGAUAGAUCCAAUGUUAAACUGUUAGCUCGUCCACGAGUUGUCGAUCGCGACGAGAAAGAAGAAUGAACUGUGGUGUACGAGCAGGCAACCGGUAUAUAGCCGGCCCACAUUCCCUUCUGGCUCGAGUAACCCAGAUUCUUCCCACCCAAGUGUCUGGGGAACAUCUUCGGGGGCCUGAAAGGGGCCCUGGAUAAUUCCCAUCUUGCCCCGGCACCUCUCACUGGUCACCUUCCCUCACCCGUUACCUUCGAGCUUCCCCGAAGUAAUCAUCUUUCGGUGCUAGAAUUCGUUUUUCUCGCGUUGGACAUCCAUGAUUGUAAUUGAUUCUUCUAAAGGAAUUGUUCUUCCUUGGUUCUCGUUAGAGCAAUUGAUUAAUGGUAUCGGUUAAUUGUUUAGUUUGAGAAAGAAUAAAAUCUAAUGAUGAUGUAUAAAUUAUAAUUUAUUGAUACAAAAAUGUAUGGCAUUAUGCCACCAUCAGCAUUGAUAAAAUCAAAUUUUAUAUUAAUUUAUAAUUAAUUACUACAGUGUUCUGAAACAUUUAAUUGGUGUUUAACGUCGAGCCUCUGUGUUUAUAAAUAAUUCAUUCUUUAAAAUAUACUUUUCAUAUUGGAAUAUAGUCUAAUUCAAUUAAAUUAUCUAAUGAAUUAUACAAAAAUAACUCAUACACUACAGUAUAACCCAUGCACCAUAAAAAUCUAGUCUUUCAUUCUUCUUCUUGGAUACAUUUCUCUACUAGUUCUCUUAAAUUAGGAUUCUCCAUGGCAGCUGCAAUUCUUU